Molecule: long non-coding RNA, 1273 nt
Organism: Armigeres subalbatus
Lineage: Eukaryota; Metazoa; Arthropoda; Insecta; Diptera; Culicidae
Exons: 3
Source: RefSeq, a predicted model, not a curated record
GCCGUUGUACGAACAGCUCACGGCAGAAACAAUCCGGCCAGAUGUCGAAUGGGAUGUAAGCAGCUUUACUGAGAAGAUUACAGCGGCAGCAAUAAAAUCUAUACCUCGGACCAGCGGCAAAAUUGGACCAAAAGCGGCUCCGUGGUGGUGCCCCGAAGCAAAAACGGCAAUCCGAUGGAGAAGAAAGUGUCUUCGCUCCCUUCGACGACUCCAGUCAUCCGACCCGGAUCACCCCGAAGCACUGGCGAGAUUUCAAGAAGCAAGGGCAGCAGCACGAAAAGCGAUCACUCAGGCAAAGCAGCAAUCGUGGGAAAAGUUCGUGGCGAGAAUAUCACCCAGCAGCACGUCGACUGAAUUGUGGCGGACCGUGAACACUCUACGUGGUAAUCGGCGACAGCGUCCGGUAGUCCUCCAGCGAUCGGACGGGUUCACGGAUGAUCCCAAAGAAGUAGCAGAAGAACUAGCGAAAGUUUACAGCGAAAGAUCUGUUACGUUCGUAUUUUGAAGCUUUUUUAAUUGUAUUUUGUUAUGUGUGCAAACUCAAGAAAAUAAAAAUAAACAAACCCUGGAGCAUAAGUGAACACUUUGCGAUUAAAACAUCGUGCUGCAAGGGAAGUCUGUCUUGCAAACAAGAGGGGAAUAGGAAAUUAUCUUGUCACUCGCAACCAACACAACAAUAAUUCGUCGCUUCCGUUCGCGACACACUGAGAGCCGCUGGCUGUCACAAACGAAGUAGAGGAGACAGAGUUGUGGUGUCUGCCAUGUCCGCGGCAUCUGGGGAGUGCUGCUCGUGACACAAGGAAGGAAAAAGAACGGCUAGUGUAGACGUUCCGGUGUUCGGAAGGAACAAACGUAACCGGAACCACAGAGCGAGGCGCUCCACAACAGAUAAAUCGCCGACAUCGAUACCGCCGUGGGCAGUAAUUCGUCAAAGACAGAAAACCCGUUUUCUCAAACGGUUGUUGGCGGAACACGCCAAGGGAAGGCGGCAACACAUUUCGAGGCAAGCGGUGACAAUUCCCUCACCAUAAGCAAAGAAGCUCGGAUAGGAUAGAAGACAGAAAGGAUUGGCAACAGCACGGACCGAACCCCUCAACGAUCCCACAGCCACGCGGAACGUGAUCGGCAGAGACGAUUUGAACGAGUCAAGGCGACACGCAUAAGAGGGAACGACGGUACCUUCAAGCAAAGGUCGCAGCCCAACGGAAAAGCGAAUUGCUCCUCCAGAUUGUUGUUCAGGUCAAGCAGAUCGCCAUCGACGGUAGGACGAACG